RNAcentral lists this ribosomal RNA (495 nucleotides) under uncultured bacterium. Its description in RNAcentral is "partial 16S ribosomal RNA". It matches the Rfam family "Bacterial small subunit ribosomal RNA", at positions 28 to 507 of the family's 1533-position model. The record is from RNAcentral.
GACGAACGCUGGCGGCGUGCCUAAUACAUGCAAGUUGAGCGAUGAAGAUUGGUGCUUGCACCAAUUUGAAGAGCAGCGAACGGGUGAGUAACGCGUGGGGAAUCUGCCUUUGAGCGGGGGACAACAUUUGGAAACGAAUGCUAAUACCGCAUAACAACUUUAAACAUAAGUUUUAAGUUUGAAAGAUGCAAUUGCAUCACUCAAAGAUGAUCCCGCGUUGUAUUAGCUAGUUGGUGAGGUAAAGGCUCACCAAGGCGAUGAUACAUAGCCGACCUGAGGGUGAUCGGCCACAUUGGGACUGAGACACGGCCCAAACGCCUACGGGAGGCAGCAGUAGGGAAUCUUCGGCAAUGGACGAAAGUCUGGCCGAGCAACGCCGCGUGAGUGAAGAAGGUUUUCGGGUCGGAAAACUCUGUUGGUAGAGAAGAACGUUGGUGAGAGUGGAAAGCGCAGCAAGUGACGGUAACUACCCAGAAAGGGACGGCUAACUACGUG